RNAcentral lists this long non-coding RNA (250 nucleotides) under Lathyrus oleraceus (garden pea). RNAcentral's name for it is "Pisum sativum (pea) long non-coding RNA (PSAT_LNC016764)". Lineage: Eukaryota; Viridiplantae; Streptophyta; Magnoliopsida; Fabales; Fabaceae. The record is from RNAcentral.
ACUUUUCUAAAGCACAAAAUCCCAACUUAUUUACACUGAAAACAUUCAUAACCCAGUUCUGACUUUGACCCGAAACAACAUCAAUCGCACAACAUUGACAACAAUCAAUCCAAUCAAUUUUAUGAUUCUAACAACAACAAUUCAUCAUUCACACAAUCCAACAAUUAAAAAAAAAAUACCAUAACGGUCAUGAACAUAGAGAAGAAGAACAUAAAAAACCUACAUGACAUAAUCUACCCACCAUCAUCAU